CACAGCCGCGGGAAUACAGAGGGUGCGAGCGUUAAUCGGAUUUACUGGGCGUAAAGCGUGCGUAGGCGGCUUCUUAAGUCGGAUGUGAAAUCCCUGAGCUUAACUUAGGAAUUGCAUUCGAUACUGGGAAGCUAGAGUAUGGGAGAGGAUGGUAGAAUUCCAGGUGUAGCGGUGAAAUGCGUAGAGAUCUGGAGGAAUACCGAUGGCGAAGGCAGCCAUCUGGCCUAAUACUGACGCUGAGGUACGAAAGCAUGGGGAGCAAACAGGAUUAGAUACCCCAGUAGUCCCUGUCUCUUAUACA
RNAcentral lists this ribosomal RNA (301 nucleotides) under uncultured bacterium. Its description in RNAcentral is "partial 16S ribosomal RNA". It matches the Rfam family "Bacterial small subunit ribosomal RNA", at positions 510 to 808 of the family's 1533-position model. The record is from RNAcentral.